RNAcentral lists this ribosomal RNA (737 nucleotides) under uncultured Gammaproteobacteria bacterium. RNAcentral describes it as "bacterial SSU rRNA". It matches the Rfam family "Bacterial small subunit ribosomal RNA", at positions 61 to 787 of the family's 1533-position model. The record is from RNAcentral. Lineage: Bacteria; Pseudomonadati; Pseudomonadota; Gammaproteobacteria.
GUCGGACGGCAGCACGGGAGCUUGCUCCUGGUGGCGAGUGGCGGACGGGUGAGUAGCGCUUGGGAAUCUGCCUGGCAUUGGGGGAUAACUCGGGGAAACUCGAGCUAAUACCGCGUACGCCCUGAGGGGGAAAGCAGGGGACUUGCUUGCAAGCCUUGCGAUGUCAGAUGAGCCCAAGCCGGAUUAGCUAGUUGGUAGGGUAAAGGCCUACCAAGGCGACGAUCCGUAGCUGGUCUGAGAGGAUGAUCAGCCACACUGGGACUGAGACACGGCCCAGACUCCUACGGGAGGCAGCAGUGGGGAAUAUUGGACAAUGGGGGCAACCCUGAUCCAGCCAUGCCGCGUGUGUGAAGAAGGUCUUAGGAUUGUAAAGCACUUUAAGUCAGGAGGAAGGCGCUCUGGUUAAUACCUGGAGUGAUUGACGUUACUGACAGAAUAAGCACCGGCUAACUUCGUGCCAGCAGCCGCGGUAAUACGAAGGGUGCAAGCGUUAAUCGGAAUUACUGGGCGUAAAGCGCGCGCAGGCGGUUCGAUAAGAAAGAUGUGAAAGGCCUGGGCUCAACCUGGGAAUGGCAUUUUUAACUGUCGGGCUAGAGUACGGUAGAGGGUGGUGGAAUUUCCUGUGUAGCGGUGAAAUGCGUAGAUAUAGGAAGGAACAUCAGUGGCGAAGGCGACCACCUGGACUGAUACUGACGCUCAUGUGCGAAAGCGUGGGGAGCAAACAGGAUUAGAUACCC